UUAAAUUGAAGAGUUUGAUCAUGGCUCAGAUUGAACGCUGGCGGCAGGCCUAACACAUGCAAGUCGAACGGUAACAGGAAGAAGCUUGCUUCUUUGCUGACGAGUGGCGGACGGGUGAGUAAUGUCUGGGAAACUGCCUGAUGGAGGGG
This 149-nucleotide ribosomal RNA is filed under the name Escherichia coli. RNAcentral describes it as "partial 16S ribosomal RNA". It matches the Rfam family "Bacterial small subunit ribosomal RNA", at positions 1 to 141 of the family's 1533-position model. The record is from RNAcentral. Lineage: Bacteria; Pseudomonadati; Pseudomonadota; Gammaproteobacteria; Enterobacterales; Enterobacteriaceae.